RNAcentral lists this ribosomal RNA (117 nucleotides) under Helianthus annuus (common sunflower). Lineage: Eukaryota; Viridiplantae; Streptophyta; Magnoliopsida; Asterales; Asteraceae. The record is from RNAcentral.
GGUUGCGAUCAUACCAGCACUAAUGCACCGGAUCCCAUCAGAACUCCGCAGUUAAGCGUGCUUGGGCGAGAGUAGUACUAGGAUGUGCCCCCCUGGGAAGUCCUCGUGUUGCAACCC